RNAcentral lists this ribosomal RNA (466 nucleotides) under uncultured bacterium. RNAcentral's name for it is "partial 16S ribosomal RNA". It matches the Rfam family "Bacterial small subunit ribosomal RNA", at positions 28 to 507 of the family's 1533-position model. The record is from RNAcentral.
GACGAACGCUGGCGGCGUGCUUAACACAUGCAAGUCGAACGGAAAGGCCCAGCUUGCUGGGUACUCGAGUGGCGAACGGGUGAGUAACACGUGGGUGAACUGCCCUCGACUCUGGCUUAAGCCUGGUAAACGGGGCCUAUUACCGGAUAUGACCUUACAUCGCAUGGUGUUUGCUGGAAAUCUUUUGCGUUUCAGGAUGGGUCCGCGGCCUAUCAGCUUGUUGGUGGGGUAUUGGUCUACCAAGGCGACGACGGGUAGCCGACAUGAGAGGGUGAUCGGCCACAAGGGGACUGAGAGACGGCGCAGACUCGUACGGGAGGCAGCAGUGGGGAAUAUUGCACAAUGGGCGCAAGCCUGAUGAAGCGACGCCGCGUGAGGGAUGACGGCCUUCGGGUUAUAAACCUCUUUCAACAGGGACGAAGCGUGAGUGACGGUACCUGGAGAAGAAGCACCGGCUAACUACGUG